AGUCGGUUCCUAAGGCGAGGCUGAAAAGCGUAGUCGAUGGGAAACAGGUUAAUAUUCCUGUACUUCUGGUUACUGCGAUGGAGGGACGGAGAAGGCUAGGCCAGCUUGGCGUUGGUUGUCCAAGUUUAAGGUGGUAGGCUGAAAUCUUAGGUAAAUCCGGGGUUUCAAGGCCGAGAGCUGAUGACGAGUCGUCUUUUAGAUGACGAAGUGGUUGAUGCCAUGCUUCCAAGAAAAGCUUCUAAGCUUCAGGUAACCAGGAACCGUACCCCAAACCGACACAGGUGGUCGGGUAGAGAAUACCAAGGCGCUUGAGAGAACUCGGGUGAAGGAACUAGGCAAAAUGGCACCGUAACUUCGGGAGAAGGUGCGCCGGCUAGGGUGAAGGAUUUACUCCGUAAGCUCUGGCUGGUCGAAGAUACCAGGCCGCUGCGACUGUUUAUUAAAAACACAGCACUCUGCAAACACGAAAGUGGACGUAUAGGGUGUGACGCCUCCCCGGUGCCGGAAGGUUAAUUGAUGGGGUUAGCGCAAGCGAAGCUCUUGAUCGAAGCCCCGGUAAACGGCGGCCGUAACUAUAACGGUCCUAAGGUAGCGAAAUUCCUUGUCGGGUAAGUUCCGACCUGCACGAAUGGCGUAACGAUGGCGGCGCUGUCUCCACCCGAGACUCAGUGAAAUUGAAAUCGCUGUGAAGAUGCAGUGUAUCCGCGGCUAGACGGAAAGACCCCGUGAACCUUUACUGUAGCUUUGCACUGGACUUUGAGCCUGCUUGUGUAGGAUAGGUGGGAGGCUUUGAAGCGUGGACGCCGGUUCGCGUGGAGCCAUCCUUGAAAUACCACCCUGGCAUGCUUGAGGUUCUAACUCUGGUCCGUAAUCCGGAUCGAGGACAGUGUAUGGUGGGCAGUUUGACUGGGGCGGUCUCCUCCUAAAGAGUAACGGAGGAGUACGAAGGUGCGCUCAGACCGGUCGGAAAUCGGUCGCAGAGUAUAAAGGCAAAAGCGCGCUUGACUGCGAGACAGACACGUCGAGCAGGUACGAAAGUAGGUCUUAGUGAUCCGGUGGUUCUGUAUGGAAGGGCCAUCGCUCAACGGAUAAAAGGUACUCCGGGGAUAACAGGCUGAUACCGCCCAAGAGUUCAUAUCGACGGCGGUGUUUGGCACCUCGAUGUCGGCUCAUCACAUCCUGGGGCUGAAGCCGGUCCCAAGGGUAUGGCCGUUCGCCAUUUAAAGUGGUACGCGAGCUGGGUUUAGAACGUCGUGAGACAGUUCGGUCCCUAUCUGCCGUGGACGUUUGAGAUUUGAGAGGGGCUGCUCCUAGUACGAGAGGACCGGAGUGGACGAACCUCUGGUGUUCCGGUUGUCACGCCAGUGGCAUUGCCGGGUAGCUAUGUUCGGAAAAGAUAACCGCUGAAAGCAUCUAAGCGGGAAACUUGCCUCAAGAUGAGAUCUCACUGGGAACUUGAUUCCCCUGAAGGGCCGUCGAAGACUACGACGUUGAUAGGCUGGGUGUGUAAGCGUUGUGAGGCGUUGAGCUAACCAGUACUAAUUGCCCGUGAGGCUUGACC
This 1561-nucleotide ribosomal RNA is filed under the name metagenome. RNAcentral describes it as "bacterial LSU rRNA". It matches the Rfam family "Bacterial large subunit ribosomal RNA", at positions 1382 to 2925 of the family's 2925-position model. The record is from RNAcentral.